RNAcentral lists this transfer RNA (77 nucleotides) under bacterium. RNAcentral describes it as "tRNA-Lys". It matches the Rfam family "tRNA". Rfam says of the family: Transfer RNA (tRNA) molecules are approximately 80 nucleotides in length. Their secondary structure includes four short double-helical elements and three loops (D, anti-codon, and T loops). Further hydrogen bonds mediate the characteristic L-shaped molecular structure. tRNAs have two regions of fundamental functional importance: the anti-codon, which is responsible for specific mRNA codon recognition, and the 3' end, to which the tRNAs corresponding amino acid is attached (by aminoacyl-tRNA synthetases). tRNAs cope with the degeneracy of the genetic code in two manners: having more than one tRNA (with a specific anti-codon) for a particular amino acid; and 'wobble' base-pairing, i.e. permitting non-standard base-pairing at the 3rd anti-codon position. The record is from RNAcentral. RNAcentral also lists the same sequence under 1 other name.
GGGCCGAUAGCUCAGUCCGGUAGAGCAGGGGACUCUUAAUCCCUUGGCCGCGGGUUCGAAUCCUGCUCGGCCCACCA